This is a non-coding RNA of Microcebus murinus (gray mouse lemur), 873 nucleotides long. The record is from RefSeq and is a predicted model, not a curated record. Lineage: Eukaryota; Metazoa; Chordata; Mammalia; Primates; Cheirogaleidae.
GCCCUAUUUCCUAAAUGGUGAUUAGAUUUCAAGAUAUGAAUUUUGGGGGUAUACAAGCAUUCAGAUCAUAACAGGGGAAUCAGCCUCUGGAGUCUUGUUAUAUCUCUCUAGCCACAGUGCUCAGAGGGCCUUUCUCAUCCUUCCUGGGAUCUGGGAUCCCGUGUCAGCUGGGAUUAUAGUUUAUUCUCUGAGCUCUUCUCUCUGCCUCUGUUAACCACAUAGGCUCCAGUCCCUAGCCCUGACCAUGGAACAUUAAACACCUCUGCUCUUUCCACUCCCCAUCGUGAAAAGCAGUUAGACGCAGGUGUACACCUUUCCCUUUUCACAGGCCUCUACCCUGACCUCUAAAUCUCAAGCCACCACCUCUCUGGAUCCGUUUUUCUUUCAGCUUCUGUGAUCCUGUCUAAAGCUAAGACUGUUUCCUGGGCAACAGCUCUCCCAAUUUGUAACACCCUGAGUUGCUCUGCUGGCCAACCAGAUGUCCCGCUGUUUCUGUACCAACAUGAUGAGACAAGGCCUUUCAGAAAUGGCUUCUGCUAUGUGGCAGGUGAACCGAUUCCUUUGUAUCUAUUCACUGAUGGACUUCAUCACUCUGGGACCCUGAAAUCCACAGCCACAACCGUGUCUAACAUCUGUGGGGACCUCCACAAGUCCUGCUGUCAAACCACGCAGACCACCAUGACCAGCCUUCGCUUACCUCUCUAUCUUCCCACAAAAUUACAGAGAGCAGAGGUCUGUCGCUAGAAACAACCUGGGAGCCCACGGUAGGGAGAUUGGCUCUAAGAAGUUGGCAAAGAUGGGAAAACAAUAAGAAGUAUUUAUAAAGAGGAGCGUGAUCUGGGGCAACCAAUCUAGAAGCAUAUGGUGCUAACA